UACCAGCUCUCCGAGUGGUGUGGAUGUUUAUUGGGCCUAAAGCAUCCGUAGCUUGCUAAGCAAGUCCCCUGUUAAAUCCACCGAUUCAAUCGGUGGAUUGCGGGGGAUACUGUUUGGCUAGGGGACGGGAGAGGCCGACGGUAUUUCCGGGGUAGGGGUGAAAUCCUAUAAUCCCGGGAAGACCACCAGUGGCGAAGGCUGUCGGCUAGAACGCGCCCGACGGUGAGGGAUGAAAGCUGGGGGAGCGAACCGGAUUAGAUACCCGGGUAGUCCCAGCUGUAAACGAUGCAGGCUAGGUGUCUGGGCGGCCACGAGCCGCUCUAGUGCCGCAGGGAAGCCGUUAAGCCUGCCGCCUGGGGAGUACGGCCGCAAGGCUGAAACUUAAAGGAAUUGGCGGGGAGCACCACAAGGGGUGAAGCUUGCGGUUU
RNAcentral lists this ribosomal RNA (428 nucleotides) under uncultured archaeon. RNAcentral describes it as "bacterial SSU rRNA". It matches the Rfam family "Archaeal small subunit ribosomal RNA", at positions 474 to 903 of the family's 1478-position model. The record is from RNAcentral.